This 510-nucleotide ribosomal RNA is filed under the name uncultured bacterium. RNAcentral describes it as "partial 16S ribosomal RNA". It matches the Rfam family "Bacterial small subunit ribosomal RNA", at positions 28 to 507 of the family's 1533-position model. The record is from RNAcentral.
GACGAACGCUGGCGGCGUGCUUAACACAUGCAAGUCGAACGAAGAGCGAUGGAAGCUUGCUUCUAUCAAUCUUAGUGGCGAACGGGUGAGUAACGCGUAAUCAACCUGCCCUUCAGAGGGGGACAACAGUUGGAAACGACUGCUAAUACCGCAUACGAUCUAAUCUCGGCAUCGAGGGUAGAUGAAAGGUGGCCUCUACAUGUAAGCUAUCACUGAAGGAGGGGAUUGCGUCUGAUUAGCUAGUUGGAGGGGUAACGGCCCACCAAGGCGAUGAUCAGUAGCCGGUCUGAGAGGAUGAACGGCCACAUUGGGACUGAGACACGGCCCAGACUCCUACGGGAGGCAGCAGUGGGGAAUCUUCCGCAAUGGACGAAAGUCUGACGGAGCAACGCCGCGUGAGCGAUGACGGCCUUCGGGUUGUAAAGCUCUGUUAAUCGGGACGAAAGGCCUUCUUGCGAAUAGUGAGAAGGAUUGACGGUACCGGAAUAGAAAGCCACGGCUAACUACGUG